Molecule: ribosomal RNA, 497 nt
Filed under: uncultured bacterium
Lineage: Bacteria
Description: partial 16S ribosomal RNA
Rfam family: Bacterial small subunit ribosomal RNA
Source: RNAcentral
GACGAACGCUGGCGGCGUGCCUAAUACAUGCAAGUUGAGCGCUGAAGGUUGGUACUUGUACCAACUGGAUGAGCAGCGAACGGGUGAGUAACGCGCGGGGAAUCUGCCUUUGAGCGGGGGACAACAUUUGGAAACGAAUGCUAAUACCGCAUAAAAACUUUAAACACAAGUUUUAAGUUUGAAAGAUGCAAUUGCAUCACUCAAAGAUGAUCCCGCGUUGUAUUAGCUAGUUGGUGAGGUAAAGGCUCACCAAGGCGAUGAUACAUAGCCGACCUGAGAGGGUGAUCGGCCACAUUGGGACUGAGACACGGCCCAAACUCCUACGGGAGGCAGCAGUAGGGAAUCUUCGGCAAUGGACGAAAGUCUGACCGAGCAACGCCGCGUGAGUGAAGAAGGGUUUCGGAUCGUAAAACUCUGUUGGUAGAGAAGAACGUUGGUGAGAGUGGAAAGCUCAUCAAGUGACGGUAACUACCCAGAAAGGGACGGCUAAAUACGUG